Humulus lupulus (European hop) is the source of this 107-nucleotide small nucleolar RNA. Lineage: Eukaryota; Viridiplantae; Streptophyta; Magnoliopsida; Rosales; Cannabaceae. The record is from RefSeq and is a predicted model, not a curated record.
AUUCCAUGGUGAGGGCAUUUGCUCAACAACUCCUUAAACCUCUCCCAUGCCUCAUAUAGAGAUUUCUCAUCAAGAAGCUGAAAUGAAUUAAUCUCAUUGUAGAGCUU